CCUACGGGUGGCAGCAGUGGGGAAUAUUGCGCAAUGGGCGAAAGCCUGACGCAGCGACGCCGCGUGAGGGAUGAAGGCCUUCGGAUCGUAAACCUCUUUUAGCAGGGAAGAACGGUCACCGUUCUAAUCAGCAGUGAAUUGACGGUACCUGCAAAGGAAGCACCGGCUAACUCCGUGCCAGCAGCCGCGGUAAUACGGAGGGUGCGAGCGUUAAUCGGAAUUACUGGGCGUAAAGGGCUCGUAGGCGGUAUGUCAAGUCAGAGGUGAAAUCCCCGGGCUCAACGUGGGAACUGCCUUUGAAACUGGCGAACUGGAGUAUGUGAGAGGAUAGUGGAAUUCCAGGUGUAGGAGUGAAAUGCGUAGAUAUCUGGAGGAACAUCAGUGGCGAAGGCGACUAUCUGGCACAUAACUGACGCUGAGGAGCGAAAGCGUGGGUAGCAAACAGGAUUAGAUACCCGGGUAGUC
This 465-nucleotide ribosomal RNA is filed under the name uncultured bacterium. Its description in RNAcentral is "partial 16S ribosomal RNA". It matches the Rfam family "Bacterial small subunit ribosomal RNA", at positions 338 to 795 of the family's 1533-position model. The record is from RNAcentral.